Molecule: long non-coding RNA, 6718 nt
Organism: Salarias fasciatus (jewelled blenny)
Lineage: Eukaryota; Metazoa; Chordata; Actinopteri; Blenniiformes; Blenniidae
Exons: 3
Source: RefSeq, a predicted model, not a curated record
CAACUUUAUAUUUUACAAACAUUUUAUAUGUCAGGGUUGUCAGAUAAAAAAAAUCCAUGAAAAACUAACUUUAGCCUCAAAGCCAUGCUGUGAGUUUGUCAAAACAUGCACAGUAACAACUAAAGAAGAGUUUUUUGGGGGACAUUUCACUGUAUUUUGUACCGGAAAGUUCCAUUCAGAUUGUCUUUAUGUUGAAAUUGUUGUCGUUUUUGCUCAUAAUUGGUUUUUUGGUGGAAACAACAUUUUCACCACAUACACACAGGCUGUGGGCUGGUUCUGGCCCACACGUCUUAUGUUUUACACCCCUGCAGUAGUUUAUCAACUGUGGACCAAAAUUCAAGUAUGUAAUCAGUAAGUAUGAAUCUUCAGGUGUCUGUUUCAUCUAAUUUAAAGGCAUUUUUGAAUAUGUAAGACAUGAAAUACUCAUGAUUUUUAGUCAGCUUUUCAUUGAGUGUAAGUGGUGUGUAAUCACACAUUUGAAGGACUCUUAAAGUUAAAAGUGACUUGAAAGGUUAAAAUUUUAAAUAAUUUCCUUACAAAAGGUUUAGUUGCACCAAUAUGAUAACAAAACACUCCCUUCAUCUUAAACCCAUAUUAGAAAUGACAGGAGCAUAUGUUCUCUUUUACAUUUGGUUUUUGUCACAAUAUGUAGAUGUUUUCUCAGGUAAAUACGUCAGUCUGGAUGUUUAAAGGUUAUUCAAUACUCUGUAAUGUUUUUAUAUGUCCUAUCAGCAGAAGGUUUUCAAGGAGUUCUUAAAAUCAGUACUUUAUAAAGGAAUUCAUAUUUUUUUUCUCUAAAAUUUCUUCAGAUUACAGUGAAUAACAGGGAAAUGUGUAUUUUUCAAGAAGCUCUGUUUGCGCUUGGUUGGAGUAUAAACCUUCUGACUGUUUAGAUGUGAUACAAGUUGUGUUUUGAAUGUGCUUCAUGUGGAAGCCUCACUUUUUUAUACUGAGACUGAGCUUUAUUUAUCCACCAGGUCUCAUUUUAUAACUAACAGGAAGAUGACCCACAUAAUGCCAUGCAAAACAAUAAACGCGUUGAUACUUUAAAGGAAGUGUGCAGCUACAUGUGCGUGAUUUCACCUUUAAUCCCUUAUGUGACACUCCCUGAAAUAUAUACACAGUACUUCAUAGUGCAAGAUUUUUACUUCUGGCUUUCUCAAAAUAACAAAUUAAAAACAUUUUGAGCCGUUUAUUGAAAUGAAAUCAAUGGUAAAAGGGUUAAACUGCUCAAAACCAUAAAUAUUAUAGCAUGGUUGUCAGUGCUGUUUAGUUCAUGGGCUGCAAACUGUUUGAUAUGAAGUGGGGCAGAUCAAUGAAAAGACAGAGUAAUGAUCUGUACAUAAGUAAAGCAUCAAGUGUUUCGUCUUAGUUUUUCCACAAUAACAUACAAUGAAUUCAGUGUUUUUCCAAAAAACAAACAAACAAAAAAAAAACAAACAGAUUGGACUUUACAAAGAAAAAUAAGUGUUAUUAUGCCUUUUUUAAUCUCUGAACUCAAAUUGUAUAUCUGUAGUGCUUUACAGUACAAAGUACAUGCUAGCAAUAAAAGCAAGAGGGAUAAACAAUGUGUAAUAUGUAAAGGCUGCCAAAAAAAGUUGAAAGCAUAAAGAGAAUUUUCCAUAAAACAGUUUAAACAUUACGCUCUGGUGCAAAAUAAAGUGAACCAUUUCCUUUAUUUGUAGUUUUUUGUUCUUUUCAAAUGUUGUUGCAACAAAAGAGGCAACAAGUUUUUUCACAUUGUUCUUUUUCAGCUUUCCAAGUGUUCAAAAAUACCUGAUAUCCUCCAAAAAAUAUGGAUUCUUCAGCCAUCUGCAUGCAUGUAUUCUCAACUUCAUCCGAGCUAAUGUGAACUUCAAGUUAUGCUAUUCCAUUCAGAGCUAGCAUUUCUGUGUGCGGCUCUUAUCAAAACUGCAGACUCAGCAAACAAACCAGGAACAAUAAUUAACUCAAUCUAGUGUCUGUUUUCACACUUUAAAGUCAUCAAGCGGCCCGGAUUGGACCCUAUCAGCGGGCCAGUUUUGGUCCCCGAGCCUUAUGUUUGACACAUAUGAUAGACAUCUUAAAAAAAAUUAGUCAAAAUGUCUUUAAAUUUUUAAAACUUUUGGUUUUUACAUCACACACAGAUGUGAUUUAAAACUUUUGAUCCAAUAUGGUGCAAAAGUUCUUUCAUAUUUUAUCAGAUUUUUUAAACAAUAAGCUAUCAGGAGAAUUUAUGGACAAACUCAGAGAGUAAGAGGUUUCUUUUUUUCCGCAUUCAAAGUGGCAAAAGACAAAAGUUUGGAAGAAAUAGAGUGAAAUCAUAGAUACCAAAUAUGAUCGCCUGUGCUUAAUUGGGAUUGGAAAUAAUAAUAAUUUCUCGCCAAAAUUGCGUUUUUUUAACCUCUUUUUUGAUCACAGAUCGUCAUAGUGAUCUUUUUAUAAACUUCAUUAAUCAAGGGGCCAGUACUUAUCAAAGUCAACACUAUCCUCUAGUGGUGGGAGCGCAUCGCACCAGGCGGCCAAAGGUGCGCACUCCAUCCCAUAAUAAACACGAACAGCUCUCACUCGGGCGGGGAGCGGUUAAUCCCAGUGGUUCCAGUUUGAGAUGAGCAGAACAGAGCAGAACUUUUAAAUAUCCAAACAGUUCCAACCAGUAAGGAAUGUAUUCCAGGCAUUUGAUGAAUGUGUGUGUGUGUCAUAACGUGACCUUUGACAAAACACAAAUAGAAAGAUUCCUGCUCUACUCCUGGAAAUAAAUCUGCGAGUUUGAUGUGAUCAGAAUGUGAGUAACUCAUCCGUGACAAUCUGCAGCAGUGUUUCUAAUUAUUCCUUUAUGGAGCACCACAUGAGAUGACAACUAACGAAACGGUUUAUGAAUGAUCUUGUUUGAACUGAAAGUGUAAAAAUGUGUUCUACUGGUCCAACUUUUUUAACAACAUCACGGCAAAGCACUGCAUGAAAACGGACGCAUGAACUGGAGAUCUUUGUUCAUUUCAACAGAACAGCCCUUUUCCCCCUUUUAUCCCCCCAGUCCGUUUCAUAGCCACCACGUUCCCUUUAAGUUGUAUAAAGAGAUAAAUGACACUUAAAAGUGUGUGUGUGUGUGUGUGUGUGUGUGUGUGUUGCAUAAACACAAUCAUUUUAUUAUCGCUGAAGACCUUGAAAACAACAGCAACAUCCAAAAUACAGGAAUUUUAAAAAGCGCGUUUGGCACUCACAGCCAUGCGCACCAGGAACAGGGAUGGUGUUUUUCUUGUUAAUCUUGGAGUUUUUGAUGGACAUUAAUUGUUGUUGAUUGAUUAUAGAGACUCAGAAGGAGUCAUUAAGGGAAGACAGGAGGAGGAAGAGGAAGAGGAAGAGGCGUAGGAGCCGGUGAGAUGCUGCUCCGUGCUCCUGGAACAGAUGGUGGAAGCGUGCGCCGUGCUCCAUUAAUCUGCCAUGCAGGGAAGGAGCUUUUCAGAGCGCACGGGAGAAAGGAUUACACACACACACACACACACACACACACGCACACACGCACACACGCACACACGCACACGCCUCCCGUGGUUAAAUGCUUCUGCAGAAAAGCGUCUCCGCGCGUAAAAACCCACCAAACCCAAAACUGCAUUAGCUUCCACUGAUUGCAGAUGAUAACUGAAGAAGAUUCGAACAGUCCUCUCCCCGCAGCACCGAGAAAACGCGGUGCGGUGAAGGCUGGGUGUGUCAGCAGAGUGCGUUAAAGGUGCGCGAGGAGAGGUUGGUUCUAAAUGAGCUCAGAAGCUCAGUAUGUGACCGUAAUGAGCUGCUAAUUUACUGUUGUCCUACUAUCACAGCUGCACGUGGAAUCCAGGCCUUUAUUAUUAUUAUUUGUCCUGAUAGAUGAGGAGACAUGCAAAAAGCAACCAAAUAUACACAAUUUCCAACCAUUUUUUAUCUAUCAUUGUUUUUAUUUCUUUUUGCUCAUUUUGGAAUCUUUGUAAACCAUACAGGUAUUUUGUCAUGCAGCUUUUGUUGUGUGUCUUUCUACAUUUCAUGGUAUCUUUUUUUUCCACAAUCUGGGUGUUUUCAUUUAAAAUCACACACUGAAAAAACUGACUUUUUGCUGUAGUAAAAUAUAUUUAAUUAAUUAGUUAAUUUUUACACUGUAAUAUUUUGAUUCAGAGACAACAUAAAUUUCUUCAGUAAAACCUUAUAUUUAAUUCAUGUAUUUAAUGAACUGUGAAGGAAGAGUAAGUUGUAUUGUGGAAUUCUUCAUAGUAUUUACAUGUUUUAUGCUCACUCUGCAUAAACUUAGAAAUAGUUAGUAACUUUUAAUUAGAAAGUGUAGUUUCUGUUUGAAUCCACACAUGCGCAGUUUGACAGAAGAGCCCGCGAUGAUUAACGGUUCAAGCUCCACCGGGUACAGGUCGGUCUGUCACAUGUGCUGCUCAGCUGCGAAGUGUGAGCUCCGGUGAAACGUAAGUUAUUGCCUCUUUGCUUAAAGUUUGUGAUGACAUGUUGAUCCGUGAGAUAGUUUCUUGCGUGCAUUGAUUUUAGUUUUAAUCUUGUUGGCUAAUGUGACCAAAUUUAACACAAUGGCAUCCACACCUAGUGCUAUCUGUGAAGGAGAGCUACGCUAAGGUUAGCUGUUUCACUUUAGUGAAGCUAAAUUGUGAGUUAUGCUUGGUAAAUCAGUAGAGUAAACGAAGUGAGUAAUAUUUCAGUGUAUGUAAUGUGCUACUAAUGCAGGACAGCUCUGCUAAUGUUAGCUGUUUCACUCCAUUUAGUGACGUUUGCUUUUAACUUGAGCUUGGUUAAUUAAUGGAGCUAAUAUGAAACAGAGCUAAAUGCAGUGGAACAGUAACUCAGAUGAUUCUCUUGUUGAAGGCUUGAGGUUGUGAUGGACAGUCCAGCUGCUACUGACUUCAGAGAGAGAUGGCCUACUUUGUUUUGUGAAGCUGAGAUCAAGGAGGAAUUCAGGAGAAUCACUACAAUUUCCUUGGAGCAGACCUUCAUGUACAAACUCGACCACUACACACCGAAACUUACUACUCUGAUGAAGACCAAGGGAGGUGCUGUGGGAACCAAACUGAGGCCAUUCCUGGACAAAUUAAAUCAGGUGGAUAGCCGCAGUGAUGCCACUCAGCACAUCCUCAAAAUCCUGGUCGUCCAUGGAGCUGAUGGAGAGGAUCCUGUAGAUGUGUCCAUCGUUCUUGAAGGCAAGGAGAUGUUACCAGGAUGCGGGACUAUUUCUAAAGCUUGUGCACUGCUUAUUGGUCUGAUUUAUGCCUCAGUCUUGCAUAUCCGCCAGCACUGCGCUAUACUUUUGAGGUGUUUCUGAAACUUUUCCGGGAGCUGGAUGGGAUCAAGUUGGCCCCAAAAGUAUAAGCUUUAAAGUUGAAGUUGCUGUCUUAGAUGCUGUCAUCACAGCAAGCAUGUCACCUCCUUUGGACCUUCUGUUUAUAUUCAGCAGUACAGCAGCUUGUCUGUAUAUGGACCUUCACUGCUGAGAUAUUGACUUGGAACAAAAAAAAAAAAAAAAGGAAACUUUGUAAGUAUUUGUGAAACUGUAAAAUGGUGAGUGAUGUUCUGCUUAUGCCGUUAAGAAUUGGCGCCUCACCUCGGAGUUCAACUGUGCCCUGGAUGACUAACUGUGGGAAGUUGUGUGAUUAGAAAUGUUUCCCAUUUUGUGUAGACUAAGGCACCUGGUCUUUUCCUGUCAUUCAUGUUCACACAUUUAUGCUGAAGGUAAAGUUAACAAUGUAUUUGUUAGCUGCCUUUUAAGCUGUUGAUGUUUUAAUACCUAAAUGUUUUAAUUUGCAUUCUCCGAAGUCUACUAAUAAAGUGUGCUGGCUGAAAUGUUGCAAUGUUUUAAUGUUUGAAUAGCACAACUGCAAAUUCGUGAUUACAGAAAGAAUUGGAGGAAGAAUUGCUGUUUAGUGUUCAUAAACUGUAUUUGAACUGUUUUUUUUUAUUUGUGAUAUAUUAAAUGCAGAGAAAUUCAAAUUUGAUGUUUAUCAAAAGAAAAUUAACAUUUACAUAAUUGUAGUGAGUAAAUCAACUUAAUACAAAUGAGUAAUGAAUUGUUCAACAAAUAAAAAUUACUUAAUUAUUUCAUAACAUUAAAUCCAGAUGCAUUGUGUUAAUAUUAUGUUGCUGACUGAAAAAAAAUUAAUUCACUUUACUUGAUUAUUUAAAAUAAAUUUUACUUCUAACUUUAUGAUAAUGAAGUAACAUUUACUUGAUGUUUUCAUAACUGUUACUUGUAAUGGUAUGUAUAUAUUACUUGUUUCUGGGAGGUAAGCUAUACUUGAUUUUGAAGCAGUAAAAUUUACUUAAAAAGUGUUAGUGCAAAUUGUUACGAGGAUUUUUUUAAGUAAAUCUUCAAAGUUAUUUUUUUCAGUGCAUUUGUGUGACAGCCCAUAUCUCUUUUUUUAAUCAUGACAUGCUGCCUUUUUGUAGUCAACAUGUGGAGCUGUAUGUUUUCUAUUUGCCACUGUGUCUUUCUUAGAUAAUUUUGUUCCUCAGUUUGGCCACUUUUGCUUCCUGACUGCAGCUAUUUUAUGUAUUCACACUUUUUAUGGUCUUACUUCAUCACAUUCUGAGUCUUUUCUCUUAUUUUACAUCUUUUUGUAUGAGAUCAAGUGCAGUUUUAGACCCUUUUUUUGGUCAUUUUGUAUGUCUCAGUUAACAUUUGGUCCUUUUGUGGUCAAUUUGUUUAACAUUUGUUUAAACAUUAAAGAAAUGUCAUGUUUCAUUUGCUUGUUUUACAUCU